GUGCUUCUUGCAACCACUUCUCUUGCUGAUCUUUCAGGGGAUGAUUCCUCUGUGGGUGAUCACACUUGGAAACAUAAGCCACCAAGGAAACAUUGGCCUCCUAUGACAACAAAAAAUGAGGUUCCAAAAAAGGAACAAACAAUCCCACAAAACAAACUAUCACAAGAGGAGCAUACUAUAGUCGAGGAGAGUCACGAUCACGAUCACGAUCACGAUCACGAUCACGAUCACCACCACCACCAUCCAGGGAAGAAGCACCCCCCUUCCAAAAAUUAAACACUAAACUUGUGAAUCUAUACACCAUGCAUGCAAUCUUAUGAAAUAUGGUUUUAAUUAUUAAAGUUCAAUCUUGGCUAUUGUAUAAUAAAGGCAUGUAAUGUUGUUUUUACUUGAUUUUAUUUGUAUUUCAAUUUGGUUUGUUUAAAAAUAAAGAUGAGCUUGCUAUACAUAUGCAUUCCAUCAAUCAUGUUUCUUUCUUGUUGUUUGGCUUCCUUUCAAUUUCGUAUGAACUAGUGUAAUAUAUUGUGAUAUUUAUGAAAUGAUCAAUUAUUGGUUAUGAUCUACAAAAUCUACAUGCAUGUGAUUUUUUAUCAGCAAAAUAAAUUGUAUUAAUGAAACAAGUAGUUGAGCUCCGGUGGUUAAGGAACAUCAAUUAAGGAUGAACUAUUCAUUAAAAUUUGAGUUCGAAUCCUGACUUGAAAAGUAUUGGCUUCAUUGAUCUCUUGACUGAAAUCUAAAUUAUCAAGAUCGUUUCCGAAACUGGUGGGUUAAGACAAAAAAAAAAGGACUGAGACUAUAGUGUCAUAUGCAUACAUCACUUAAAGCUUCAAUGCUUCAUAUUUGCUCUUUUUAGUAAUUAAGGAUAUGUAUAGAGACUUUAUAUUUACUCUUUUUUGUGUAAAAGGACCAACAAAACCUCUUAUCCUAAAACAAAAUGAUAAAACUAAUAGGACAUGUACUCUUGAAUAAGUCUUAACAAAUGAUACCUUUGUUGUACGCCUAGAGACUUUCCGGUGUCAAAUUUAUGUGGUUGUUCAAGAUUUAUUGUGAUGAUUUCCGGAUCCCCACAUGAUUCAACACACAUUUCAAUUUCAUUUUGAAAUCUAUUUUUAAACGCACAAAUUCUUUGUAGUGUAAAUUGAUUUUUAAAGACAUUUUGAUUUUUUUGAUGUGUGAAGAUGCUGAAUGAUACAUUUUGAUACUACCUGCUGAUGAACACACAUUUUAAAGAUGAUUGGGCAUGCUAAAGUUUGUAAGAGUCUCUAUUUUUUAGAAAAAGUUCCAACCAAUUUGUUAGCCCUUAUCAUACCGAUAUGCAAUUCUUUUUGUAAUAAAAUAUCUUCUAUAAAAUGCUUACACAAAUCCUAUUCAUACCUUUAACUCUCCAAGGCCUCAAUCCCUAUAUGAAGAGGACCCAAAAUACUCUAAGCUGAGCUCCCUUUAAUAUACAAUGUAGUCAAGAUCAAGAUUCUACGUAGGAUCGGCAGGCUUGUGAAGGAUCAUAAGUACGAGGGUCAUAGCACAAUUCGUAAGAUCAUACUCAAAGGCAAAAUUGUAACUUCACAUAUACACACAAACACAAAAAAUAUAUUAAUACAUGAAAACAAUAACUUACAAAUCACAACAAUAAACUUAGUUAAUUAGUAAUUUUCAUAAUCAUAAUUCCAAAAGUUCACAAUAACCAAGUACUAACUAAAGGCCUAUGAUUGCGUCAAAAAAAAUAAAAAACUAAAGGCUUAUGUAUCAUUCACAAAAGAAAGCAUCAUGCAUGAUGCUUCACUAAAAACAAGGCCUAUGCAUCAUUCAAAAGAAAGACCUAUCAUUCACAAAAGACAUAAUCUAUAGAAACAAGUCUAGGCAUUUAAGAUAUUUUCCAAUCCAAAAUCUUGAUAGUCACCGAUAUCACCAUCUUCAUCCUCAUUCUCUUCCACUUCAACGGCAUCAUCAUCGUCUUCUUCAUCAUUGGGAGAAAGAUCCAAAUUAAAUCAUCACCAUGAGCAUCACCAAUACUAGCAUCUUGUCCAACAUUGUUAGAAAUAAUAUAAAAUUAUUGAUGUAGCUCUAUCCUAACAGCUUAAGCUUUUGGGAUAAUCGGUUAUUUGACAUGGUAUCAGAGCCUCUAUGACUAAGUGGUCUAGAGUUCGAUCCCCGCUUUCUCACUUUCUAAUUAAAAAGUGGAAUUUAAGCAUAUGGUAGGUGGGCCUAUNNNNNNNNNNNNNNNCCCAAGUGGGCUCUUGCGUGAGGGGGCGUGUUAGAAAUAAUAUAAAAUCAUUGAUGUAGCUCUAUCCUAACAGCUUAAACUUUUGGGAUAAUUGGUUAUUUGACAUGCCAUUCUUCAUAAGCAGCAGACACUUAUUCAGGCCAUCUCGCAACCGAUGUGAGACUUCUUAACACUCCCCCUCACGCCCAACACUAUUGAGCUUGGUGCGUGGAUAUAAACGGUGGGCGGCCCGAUUCCGGAAACCUGAUAACAGGUGGUCCAACGGAUCGUGGAGAGGCUCUGAUACCAUCUUAGAAUUGAGUAUUGGGCCUAACUCAUCCUUACAAAACCGGCUUGUAAGGUGAGGAUUGCCUCUAGUAUAUAAACACUUAUUCAGGCCAUCUCGCAACCAAUAUGAGACUUCUUAACAAACAUCAGUGAGAUGUCAUCUUCUUCAUUUUCAUCAUACUCCACAUUCUCAAUCCAUUCCUUCAUCUUUAGAAUCAAUUUCUUCAACCUCAUAGCUAGCACUCUUUCUCUUAUUCUUCUUCUUUCCUAAUUUUGAGUUAAUAACCACCACAAAAACAACCUUAUUCAUUGUGACAUGCUGCAAGCGAUUACUUUUCUUAGUGUGAACCAAAAUGAUCAUAACAUAAAUGAAAACAUAAUAGAUAUUUGUAAUACAAUUUGUUUAAAAAGUUCGAAAACUUACCCUUUUAAAAGCACUCCAAUUCCCUUCAGACCCCGAUGAGUUACAUAUCAAACUAAGUACUCGCAAAACGAACCAUUGCAAUUCACGAUGUUUACGGCCAUACUUUUUGUAUUUCUCUUACAUUGUUUUUGUAAUCUUUUAAUUUUAAAUAGUUCAUUUAAAAAAUGGACGUGGUAGGAGCGUAGUAGAAAUUUCGACCCACUAUUUCUAGUUAGUCUGUCCCGCACGGCACCGUUUUUGAAGGAUUAGAGGUGGGACUAAUUGUUGCAGACUUGUAGGGCGACUUAAACCGUUUUGCCAUUCCUAAAAUUCUCCAUUUUUUGAGAUCAUAGUAGACAAAUAUGCAUGGGAUAUAGAAACCUCAAAGACUAGUAAAAUAAGAUGAUUUAUUCUCUUUUAUUUGUUUUUUUUUUACUGGUUUUUUAUCCUAAUAAAAAUAAUUUUAUUUCCAUUUAAUGCUAAAUAUGAGCAUUUCUAUCUACUAAAAUUUACUUAAUUCAUCAUAUUGUAGGAGAUUGACCUCUUCUGUUUAAUUCAAUUAGUUGGUAUUGGUUAAAGAAGAUUAUGAGUUAGUCAAACGUUAUAUAAAAUGGAUAUAAUGAGUCUUGCAAAUACAAUAAAAAAUGGAUAGUACCGAUGAAUCUAAAACUUUACACAAAUUGAAGGACAAGAAUUUACGCACGUCUGUGUUUAGUUAUUACUACACUCAAUAUUCUCUACCACCAGCACCAGUGAUAAAAUUGGAGUUACUUUACAAAUUAAUUGUCUUAUUGGGUAUAAUAUUGAUUAAUUAAUAUUAGAAUUUUAGAGGUCUAUACUCAACCACAAAAACUAGUUUGAGAGUUGAAGUUUGCACUACACUUAUAAAAGUUAUCUAUGUCAUAUCUCUAGCUAAUGUGGGACUUCUAACACACCCCAUCACGUUCAGAACUGAACAAGCUGGAACGUGGGAUCAACAACAACGGGUGGUCCAAAUAUGGGAGGUCUCCAAAACAAACAACAAAUGGAUCUACGAUAGACUCUGAUACCAUAUUAAAAUUUUAAAGGUCAAUAUUCAAUCACAAAAGCUAGCUGGAGAGUUGAGGUUUGCACUACACUUAUAAAGACUAAAUGUGUCAUAUCUCUAGCCAAUGUGAGACUUCUAACAAUUAAUGGUAUACUAAUUAAUUCACUACUAUAUGAAGUGCUGGUCAAACAAGAUAAAUAUAGAUUGUAAUCUUAACCAUUCUUUUUUUUUAACAAAUAUAGAAAAUAACUAGUUAAUUACCAAAAUGUGAUUUUGUGUUAUAGGGCAAAUGUUGGUGGUUACUGGUUAGUCUCUUAGGGGAAAAGGAAAUUGUUAGCUACAGACAUUAAAUUCUGGGCCUCUCCUUAUUGAACUCCAUCAUCGAAGACAUACAAAAAUGUGCUUAGUUAUAGAAGAAAAGAACUCGAACACUUUUAAAUAAGUGGUUAGAUAUUUAAUUUUUAACUAAUGUAUAAAUAAAAUUUUGAUAUAAAGAUAUAAUAUCGUUUGGUAAGGACAAUUCAAAUGGUGAAAUACUUUAACUAUAUUUGUUAUGCUGGAGUGGGGAUUCUUUUUAAAAGAAUAUCCACUUAAAUGUUUUCAAAAUUUGGAUUGAACUAAUUUAGCUUUAUAAAAUCAGUUUGUAGAGUAAAAAUAUAAAACCGGUUUGUAGAGUAAAAAUGUACGCCCAUACAAACAAAACAUAUGUUCAAGUUGUUGGGUCACAAGGGACAUAUGUUCAGGUUGUUGAGUCAUGAGGAAACAACCGGAUCAUCUAGCUACAUUGAGAUAUAUUUCAUAUCUACAAAAUAUUAACAAAAACUAAGUAUUAACAAGUGCAACCACACUAUAAAAGGACCACUACACUCCUAUAUAUGCAUCAUUCAAACAUAGAAACCAAUAGCCAAAAAAUGUCUCCCAAAUACAUUUCACUAUGUCUUCUAUUAGGGAUUGUGCUUCUUGCAACCACUUCUCUUGCUCAUUUUCCAGGGGAGGAAUCCCCUGUGCAUGAUCACACUUGGAAACAUAAUCCACCAAAGAGACAUUGGCCUCCUAUGGCAACACAAAAGGAGGUUCCAAAAGUGGAACAAUCAAUCCCACAAAACAAACAAGAUUCACAAGAGAAGCAUACUAAAGUUGAGGAUAGUAACCAUUCUCACCACCCUCAUCCAUGGAAGAAACACCCCCCUUCCAAAAAUUAAUCACUAAACUUGUGAAGCUACAUACUUGCAUGCAAUCUUAUGAAAUAUGGUUUUAAUUUCAAUCUUGGUUAAUGUAAUAAAAGCAUGUAAUGUUGUGUUCACUUGAUUUUAUUUGUAUUUUACUUUGGUAUGUUUAAAGAAUAAAGAUGAGCUUGCUAUACAUGCAUGCCAUCAAUCAUGUUUCUUUUUUCUUGUUUGUAUGUUUCCCUUCAAUUUGGUGUGAACAAGUGUGAUGUAUUGUGCCAUUUAUGAAAUGAAUUAUUUGUUAUGAAUUAUGAUCUACAAUCUACAUGAAAGUGCUUUUUUAUAAGCAAAAGUUUUAAUUAUGAAACUAGGAUAGCACUCGUGCGUCCGCACGGGUCGCGCCUGCGGCGCGUUAUUUAAGUCAUCGGCUGCAUUUCUUGGUUUUAAUUUGAAAAUUAUAUAUAAAAAGUAAGAAAAAAAGUAGUUAAUUACAUUAAAAAUAUUAAAUAAAAUUAAGAAAAAAUCAAAUCUAUUUAAUAAGCAAAACGGAAAUAUUGUUUAGAUAUAUAUAAGAAAUAAAGUUACAAAAUAUAUAAAUAUAUAAUAUUGGAUAAUUUAUCAUCAUAUGCAAAUAUAUAAAUAUCAGAUAUUACAAUGAAAUUUGAAAAAGAUGACAUCUAUAUAAGUUACAAAAUUGUAUAGAAUGAUUUGUAUAGAAUGAUUCAUUAAAAAGAAAACUCAAUUCAAACAAGCAUCUACAACAUUAAAAAGUACAAGCCUCUACAACAUCUUUGUCCUUUCAUCACUCUACAACAUUAUUUAUCAGUUAUUACGAUAAUCUAACAGCUAAGAGAUUAACCAUUCAUUUUUUUAAACUGCCAAAUUCAAGGAUAGUUUGGGGGGUUAAGAGUCCCACAAUUUCUAGAUAUGGGUCUGAACUGAAGAUAUGUUUAUAAGUAGGGCAAUCAUCGUCUUAUAAAUCGGUUUUGUAAAGUUGACACUACAAUAUUUGUAGCCUCUGGCAACAUGUUAUUAUGCAACCCUUGACAAUUGUUGCCUAAAAGUAGUAUAGGCGACAAUUUAUGCAUGUUAAUGAGUGUAUUCUAAGAUGGUAUCAGAAUCUUUUCAAAAUUCGUUCAGCCACCUGCUAUAAAUCACAUUAGUUGAGGGGACAAUCUUCAUCUUACGAGCCAAUUUGCUUAACAUACACUUAAGUUGAGGUUGGAUCCAAUAAUUUUCAUAUAUAAGUAAAAUUGAUUUUACACACAAGUGACUUGUAAUUUAUCCUUUCAUAGUAAAGUUAUAACCUAAGUGUGUGUGUUUGAGGCAAAUCAAACCAAACAAAACAAAACAAAACAAAACAAUCCAAUUCAAACCAAACCAAAUCAAAUUGUACCAUACUGAAUUAAACAUACCUUCAAAUUCCAAAUUGAUUGCUUUCAUUCCAAUGGUUUUCUAACCAUAGAAUCUGGGCGCUAAUUUCCCAUUUAAAUAAAACCUUUCAAACAAAUGCACAAUAAGAAGCUCUGAAUAGAAAAUAUUCCAAUUCACUGCAAAACGACACAUGCUAUAAUAGUACUUGAUCCAAAAAAACAAAAAUAUCCAAUAUGUUACAAGUUCUCACAGACGCGAUUAGAAUAUGUUUCGG
This 6732-nucleotide long non-coding RNA is filed under the name Trifolium pratense (red clover). RNAcentral's name for it is "long non-coding RNA (TPRA_LNC006396)". The record is from RNAcentral. Lineage: Eukaryota; Viridiplantae; Streptophyta; Magnoliopsida; Fabales; Fabaceae.